Long non-coding RNA from Mercenaria mercenaria, 1513 nucleotides. RefSeq lists it as uncharacterized. The transcript is spliced from 4 exons. The record is from RefSeq and is a predicted model, not a curated record. Lineage: Eukaryota; Metazoa; Mollusca; Bivalvia; Venerida; Veneridae.
UUGAAACUUGCAUGUCAGUUCUAGGUGCAUCAAACAUAGUAAACUAAUUCAAGUCUGAAAGCUAUCUCAUGUUCCUUUGUCAAUCCUCAGACCUGUUUACAUGGAGAGGUGGCAGAUACCUUAAAUGGUUCGAUCCUCAUGCCAAGUAGGACAGGAGAGGUGGUACAUACGCAUGUAGAUACCAAGACUUGCAUAAUGUAAAUACCUAAGUACGUCAUACAUAGUAAAACCAAUUCAAAUCUGGAAGAUAUCUCGUGUUUCUUUGUCAAUCCUCAAGCCUGUUUACAUGGAGAGGUGGUGAAUACCUUAAUUGGUCCAAUCCUCAUGCCAAGUAGGACAGGAGAGGUGGUACAAAUGCAUGUAGAUACCAAUAUUUGCAUGUCACUACUUAGUAUGUCAUUGUAAACUAAAUUCAAGUCUGAAAGCUACAGUAAAACCAAUUCAAAUCUGGAAGAUAUCUCGUGUUUCUUUGUCAAUCCUCAGGCCUGUUUACAUGGAGAGGUGGCGAAAACCUUAAUUGGUCCGAUCCUCAUGCCAAGUAGGACAGGAGAGGUGGUGCAAAUGCAUGUAGAUACCAACAUUUGCAUGUUACUACUUAGUAUAUCAUAGUAAACUAAUUCAAGUCUGAAAGCUAAAGUAAAACCAAUUCAAAUCUGGAAGAUAUCUCAUGUUUCUUUGUCAAUCCUCAGGCCUGUUUACAUGGAGAGGUGGCGAAUACCUUAAUUGGUCCGAUCCUCAUGCCAAGUAGGACAGGAGAGGUGGUACAAAUGCAUGUAGAUACCAAGAUUUGCAUGUCGCUACUUAGUAUGUCAUAGUAAACUAAUUCAAGUCUGAAAGCUAUUACAUGUUUCUUUUGUCAAUCCUCGGGCCUGUUUACAUGGAGAGGUGGCGAAUACAAUGUACCGUAAAUGGUAUGAUCCUUGUGCAAAGUAGGACUGAGAAGAGGUGGUACAAAUGCAUGUAGAUACCAAGACUUGCAUGAUUCCCAAUAUUAUUGCAAUUCGGUAGCAAAGAUGUUGACACCACAUGUCGUCUGAUGAUGAGUUUUACAGGAUCGAAUAAGGUUUGGUCAUUGUAUUCCCUGAAAGGAACAAGAGGAGAAAAGAAACUGGAAGACCUGCAUGCCUAUCCGCAGGCCAAUGCUGGCUGCAGGUCAAUAUUGAAUGCUCAUGAAAACUCAUAAGACAAUAACAAAAAAAAAAGAAGCUGAGGAUGCUGUUUUUAAAACAUGUUCCAUUCAAAAAUGGUGGAUUGAAAUCUAAGAAAGGUGUGACGGGUGCGGCUACUGCAGGCAGGGAGGAUUUGACGGUCAGCCAGAGGAUUUGGAGAUAUACUGUAAUGUCUUAAUGUGGACUUGCGUGUGAUUUAAGUUUUCACAAGGGUUUUAGUGUGUGUGAAAGUAUGUCAGUUUUCAAAAUUGAGCUAUGACAAUUUGCUCAAACUACAUAACUCAAAGAACUUUGAAGCGGUCUUGUUGACGUCAUGAGCUUUUGUUUAAUACCAGUACUGGUGA